GUUUUUUUAGUUGAAUUACAACGGUGGUUUUUCGAGUCACUAGUCCUGGUUAGAGUCCGGGUGAAAAUU
RNAcentral lists this transfer RNA (69 nucleotides) under Guentherus altivela (highfin tadpole fish). Its description in RNAcentral is "tRNA-Glu". It matches the Rfam family "tRNA". From Rfam's summary of the family: Transfer RNA (tRNA) molecules are approximately 80 nucleotides in length. Their secondary structure includes four short double-helical elements and three loops (D, anti-codon, and T loops). Further hydrogen bonds mediate the characteristic L-shaped molecular structure. tRNAs have two regions of fundamental functional importance: the anti-codon, which is responsible for specific mRNA codon recognition, and the 3' end, to which the tRNAs corresponding amino acid is attached (by aminoacyl-tRNA synthetases). tRNAs cope with the degeneracy of the genetic code in two manners: having more than one tRNA (with a specific anti-codon) for a particular amino acid; and 'wobble' base-pairing, i.e. permitting non-standard base-pairing at the 3rd anti-codon position. The record is from RNAcentral. Lineage: Eukaryota; Metazoa; Chordata; Actinopteri; Ateleopodiformes; Ateleopodidae.